RNAcentral lists this long non-coding RNA (5147 nucleotides) under Homo sapiens (human). Its description in RNAcentral is "HSALNT0069940". Lineage: Eukaryota; Metazoa; Chordata; Mammalia; Primates; Hominidae. The record is from RNAcentral.
GCAUAGUUAGGAAACCUCUUUCAGCCUAUAUAACAGCAUGGUGGUGCAGAAUAUGAAAGGCAUAUUUAGAGUCACUAUAAAUAUUGAUGUGUAGUCCUUUUGCAAGAGUGAGGGCUUGAGUUAAGGCAACUAGUUUGGCUUGCUGAGAGGUAGUGGAGGGGGGGCAGAGCGAUAGACUCAGUGAUAGAUGUGGAAGAUACUCUAGCAUAGCCUGCCUUUGCUGGUGAGUGGCGAUUAGGCCUGGCAGAACUGCCAUGAAUAAACUAAAUGUGAUCAGGGUGAGGAACAGGAAAGAAGGAAAUAUGGGGAAAUGGGGUGAAUGUCAGGUGGAUCAGAGAGAUACAGUCAUGAGGGUCAGGUGUGGUAUCCAGAAUAAUGUGGGAGGCCAGAUCGAAGUCCAUGCCAGGAACAAUGGUAAUUGUGGGAGACUCAACAAAGAGUAUGGCUGAAGGAGCGGGGGAGCAGAAAGUAUAUGUGUCAGGUAUGAGGAAGAAAAUAGAUUUUGGAAGUUAUGAGAAAUGUAGAGAGUGAGUUGAGCAUAGUUUGUGAUUUUUAGGGCCUCUAAAAGUAUUAAAGCAGCGGCAGCUGCUGCACGCAGACAUGAGGGCUAGGCUGAAACAGUAAGGUCAAGUUGUUUGGACAGAAACGCUACAGGGUGCGGUCCCGGCUCUUUUGUAAGAAUUCUGACCGCGCUAACCAUGCCUAGGAAGGAAAGGAGUUGUUGUUUUGUAAGGGAUUGAGGUUUGGGAGAUUAGUCGGACACAAUUGGCAGGGACAGCACGUGUGUUUUUACGAGAAUUAUGCAGAGAAAGGUAACAGGUGAGGAUGAAAUUUGAGCUUGACUGAAGUAAUGGGGGCUGUCUGUGAAGCCUUGCGGCAGUACAGCCCAGGUAAUUUGCUGAGCCUAAUGGGUGUCAGGGUCAGUCCAAGUGAAAGCGAAGAGAGGCUGGGAUGAAGGGUGCAAAGGAAUGGUAAAGAAAGCAAUGUUUGAGAUCCAGAACAGAAGAAUGGGUUGUAGAGGGAGGUAUUGAGGAUAGGAGAGUAUAUGGGUUUGGCACCACGGGGUGGAUAGGCAAAACAAUUUGGUUGAUAAGGUGCAGAUCCUGAACUAACCUGUAAGUCUUGUCUGGUUUUAGGACGGGUAAAAUGGGGGAAUUGUAAGGAGAGUUUAUAGGCUUUAAAAGGCCAUACUGUAACAGGUGAGUGAUAACAGACUUUAAUCCUUUUAAAGUGUGCUAUGGGAUGGGAUAUUGGCAUUGAGCAAGGUAAGCGUAAUUAGGUUUUAAUGGGAUGGUAAGGGGUGCAUGAUCGGUCGCUAAGGAGGGAGUAGAGGUGUCUUAUACUUGUGGGUUAAGAUGGGGAGAUACAAGGGGAGGAUAUGAAGGAGGCUUUGAAUGGGGGAAAAGGCGGCAAUGAGGUGUGGCUGUAGCCCAGGAAUAAUCAGGGAAGCAGAUAAUUUAGUUAAAGUGUCUCAGCCUAAUAAAGGAACUGGGCAGGUGGGGAUAACUAAAAAGGAGUGCUUAAAAGAGUAUUGUCUAAGUUGGCACCAGAGUUGGGGAGUUUUAAGAGGUUUAGAAGCCUGGCCAUCAAUACCCACAACAGUUACGGAGGCAAGGGAAACAGGCCCUUGAAAAGAAGGUAAUGUGGAGUGGAUAGCUUUCGUAUUGAUUAAGAAGGGGAUGGACUUACCUUCCACUGUGAGAGUUACCUGAAACUCGGCAUCCGUGAUGGUUUAGGGGGCUUCCGAGGCGAUCAGGCAGUGUCAGUCUUCAGCCGUUAAGCUGAGAAGAUCUGGGAAGGAGUCAGUCAGAGAGCCUUGGGCCAGAGUCCCAGGAGCUCUUGGAGUGGCUGCCAGUUUUAGAACCUGCCAAGGAAGGGUAUGCAGAAUUUUGCAGUGCCUUUUACAAGCUGUGCUAAAUCCAGUGUCCAUGCCACAUUCCUUUUCAUUGAUAUAAAGGCAACUCGAAGAUGGGAUACUAUUGACAAGGGGUCACAAGUACCCUCCACUCAUUUCUCUAUGCGGCCAUCCCAUGAACAGUCACUGCACAAGAACUCCAUUGGCUCUGUUGGAUGCCAUGCUAAGAACAGGAUGGACACCAAAGAGUAAAGCUCAACAGAUCCAGAUCCAAAGUAGCAAACAAGCCAGGGGUGGAGACUUCAAAUCCUAAACAGUAAUGCAAGGGUUCCACAGACAUAAAAUAUCACAAACAUAAGUCUUUAGACGCAACUUUUGAUUCUGUACCAAGAAAAUGACAUGGACAAGAAAUAAAACAUUUCAUGAUAGAGUCAGGUUUAAAGCUGCUGUUUGUGUGGAUCAGCAGAAGGAACAUUUUUAACAGGGGUAAUAGUAAAUGGGCAAAGGAAGUCCCGCAAGAAAUAAUUUUUUUUUUCUUUUGAGAUGGAGUCACCCAGGCUGGAGUGCAGUGGUGCCAUCUCAGCUCACUGUAACCUCCGUCUCCUGGAUUCAAGAGAUUCUCCUGCUGGCUGGGACUACAGGUGUGUGCCACCACACUUGGCUAAUUUUUGUAUUUUUAGUGGAGAUGGGGUUCCUCCCUGUUGGCCAAGCUGGUCUCAAACUCCUGACCUCAAGUGAUCCACCUGCCUCAGCCUCCCAAAGUGCUGGGAUUACAGGCAUGAGCCACCAUGUCCAGCCCAGCAAGAAAUAAUUCUGUCAGGAAAGAAGGAUGCUCAGAUGAGAGGCUUAUCUUAGUCUGUUUGGGCUGCUAUAACAUAACACCAUAAACUGGGUAGCUUGUAAACAACAGACAUUUAUUUCUGACUGUUCUAGACGCUGGGAAGUCCAAGAUCAAGGAAGACUUCAUGUCUGAUGAGGGCCUGCUCUCUGGCUCAUAGAUGGUGCCUUCUUGCUGCAUCUGCAUGGUAAAAGGGAUACAUAUUGAAGGCAUACCUAAUAGAAGAAACUGUUCUGAAGUCUGGGUAUUCAACAAGAAAGAAAACACAAAUUUUAUGUUCUCAUGGAGCUUAUAUUCAAAUGGAGUGUGGGGGACUUGAAUAAGAAGGCAUCUAAAGUACCUAGUGUUCGCAGAUGCUAAGAUGAGAAGUAGUGCGAGAAAAAGAGAAAGGCUCAUGAGGGAGGGUAUUCCUCAGGGUCUGGUUAGGAAAACACCCAGCAAUUUUAGGAGUAGAAUGUUACAGAGGGAAUGGGUUAACAAGGUAUAGGAGGAACACAAAGGCUGCAAAAGUGAAAAGAGAAUGCAGAGAUAAUACAGAGAUAGUAGCUUCAGAAAGUUGCUGCCACUCCCUCCCAGGGCUGGGGGUACAAAGGCAACAGGAUCAAGUUGUUAGAGCCUAGAAACUUAGUAAAGAUUCUGGUGGCACUGGGAUACAGACCACUGAGGAGGUGGAGAUGGCCCUGCCUGCCAUUGUUUGCGGCUAUGGAACUGAAGUUAAAAGUCCUGGAGCAGCUGGGUGGCUGACCAACUGGGGAUGGUAUCUCUGAGGAACACGCUAAGACUGCUGCAGAAAGUUUGGAACACAUCUGUUUACCGUAACCACCUGCUGAGCUGGCCUGACACCAGCAGGACCAGCAAGCCAACAAAAAGGAAGAAAAUGUUCUCAGAAGCUCACCUACCUCCCAGUCUGCUUCCAGCACCCUAUUGGCAGAGUUUAUUAGGGAGUCAGCAGCAUAGGGGAAAUGCUGUCUACAGAGACCCAGGACCAGCAUUACAAAGUAGAGUGUGAAAGGGAGGGUUGAGACUGAGAAACAGAGCUUCAUAACCAGUGCUGGGAGGCUACUCUUUUAUAUAGGAGGCCCUUCAAGCCUACCCCACCCUGAUUGGGAGAAUGUCUGGGUCAUUUUGCUCUGUGCAUGAAAGUGCUUCAGGAGAAUCAUUCCCCACACCGUGAACUCCUUCAUGGUGUGGGGGAUAUUAUUUAUCUUAUCACAAAAUGUGUAUUAAGUGAAUGAGUGAAAUGAUACCUUUGAUAUAAUGCUUGUAGCAUUAGUGACUUUUUCAGCUUGGGUAAUUCUGAUUGCUAGUGUGUGUAUGUGUGUGUGUGUGUGUAUGUGUGUGUGUGUGUACUUGUUCGACAUUCAAUCUGAUUUUAAUAAAUAUUAACUAGGUGCCCACUAAGUGCAGAGCUCUGCAUCAGAUGCUACAUGAGACCUAAAAGAAUUAAACCUUGUCCCUAAAGGACUUAGAAUAUCGAUUCCUGUGUGUGCCAUCUGGUGCAUAUCACUAUUUUAAAAAGGUUUUUUUUUUUAAUUUCUUGAGGUCUUUUGAAUCCUAUUCUUCUCUGUUUUUAAAGAUAUUAGCGAUGCACGUCUCCUCCUACCCCACUUUAGUCCCCAGCUUUAUCUCUUUUAUGAACAAAAUUAAAUAGAUUUCCUCCCAGAAGGAAUCCUUUGGUAGAAAUUGUAUAAAGAGAGAAAUUAACUCUUUCAGACUCCCAGGGUGCUAUUGCUAAAUGUUCUAUAAAACUCCUUCCUCAUUACUACCUGGAGAGAGACUUGGCAUCCGGAAAAUAGCAUCCAAUAUGUAUUCACUUAUUUUCCUCCUUGUUAUGUGAUGGGGGAACAUGAGUGCAACACACUGAAGAUAAAGAAGGCUAAGGGAUGCUUGUUCAUAAAUAAGAAUAAGAUAAGGGUAUAGGCUGGGGGAUUUUAGUCUCCCAACACACUUUGAAGGUUUGGCUCCUUAGAUAGCCCGAGCAUGGAUUCCUGCCUUCUGCUCCUGCAGAAGGUGAAGGGGGUGGAGGCUGCUGUGACUAGGGCUAUGACACUAACUUUGGCUGUUAAUGGUGGCCUUCCUUAGCCUAUCUCCAAGAAUACGGAUGCUAGUACAAGUCAUGUGCUGUUAACCAAGUAUUUUGCCCCUUUCCUUCUGAAGUGGCACUCUAUUAAACAGUAAUAUUUUCUUCCCUUGUUGCUUAAAAUAAAUGUUUUUAAGGCCUAUGAAUACUUUGGUCAACAUUAGUGGUUUUUCAUACUUCCUUCUCUAGGUUUUUAGGGAGAAAUGCCUACACUGUUCUUUGAAUUGCUUCGUUAUUAUUAUUCCCCAGAUUUUCUCCAUGUAUUAAAGAUCCUAAGAAUUCUAAGCUCAGACUUUUGCCUCUGUAAAUAUAUUUUUUAAAUGGCUGCAUAAUAUUACCCAUGGACAUGAUUCCUAGCCAUAGCUCUACUUUGC